GAUGAACGCUGGCGGCGUGCCUAAUACAUGCUAGUCGAGCGAACGGACGAGAAGCUUGCUUCUCUGAUGUUAGCGGCGGACGGGUGAGUAACACGUGGAUAACCUACCUAUAAGACUGGGAUAACUUCGGGAAACCGGAGCUAAUACCGGAUGAUAUUUUGAACCGCAUGGUUCAAAAGUGAAAGACGGUCUUGCUGUCACUUAUAGAUGGAUCCGCGCUGCAUUAGCUAGUUGGUAAGGUAACGGCUUACCAAGGCAACGAUGCAUAGCCGACCUGAGAGGGUGAUCGGCCACACUGGAACUGAGACACGGUCCGGACUCCUACGGGAGGCAGCAGUAGGGAAUCUUCCGCAAUGGGCGAAAGCCUGACGGAGCAACGCCGCGUGAGUGAUGAAGGUCUUCGGAUCGUAAAACUCUGUUAUUAGGGAAGAACAUAUGUGUAAGUAACUGUGCACAUCUUGACGGUACCUAAUCAGAAAGCCACGAAUAACUACGUG
RNAcentral lists this ribosomal RNA (497 nucleotides) under uncultured bacterium. Its description in RNAcentral is "partial 16S ribosomal RNA". It matches the Rfam family "Bacterial small subunit ribosomal RNA", at positions 28 to 507 of the family's 1533-position model. The record is from RNAcentral.